CCUACGGGAUGCACCAGUCGAGGACCUUCGUCAAUGGGGGCAACCCUGAACGAGCGAUGCCGCGUGCGCGACGAAGGCCUUCGGGUUGUAAAGCGCGAAGGUGGGGAGAAAACCCGAAAGGGCUGAUCGAUCCACAGUAAGCUCGGGCUAAGUUCGUGCCAGCAGCCGCGGUAAGACGAACCGAGCGAACGUUGUUCGGAAUCACUGGGCUUAAAGGGCGCGUAGGCGGGCUGUCAAGUCUGGGGUGAAAUCCCGCGGCUCAACCGCGGAACCGCCUCGGAUACUGACGGCCUCGAGGGGGGUAGGGGCGGGCGGAACUGAUGGUGGAGCGGUGAAAUGCGUUGAUAUCAUCAGGAACUCCGGUGGCGAAGGCGGCCCGCUGGACCCCAUCUGACGCUGAGGCGCGAAAGCCAGGGGAGCAAACGGGAUUAGAUACCCCCGUAGUC
This 446-nucleotide ribosomal RNA is filed under the name uncultured bacterium. Its description in RNAcentral is "bacterial SSU rRNA". It matches the Rfam family "Bacterial small subunit ribosomal RNA", at positions 338 to 795 of the family's 1533-position model. The record is from RNAcentral.